This 330-nucleotide ribosomal RNA is filed under the name Triticum aestivum (bread wheat). Its description in RNAcentral is "partial small subunit ribosomal RNA". The record is from RNAcentral. Lineage: Eukaryota; Viridiplantae; Streptophyta; Magnoliopsida; Poales; Poaceae.
AUGUAUAUCCAGGAGUUCAAGCACAAGCUCAAUGAGAUUGUGCUUUCGUUGCGUCAACCGACUUCUAAGCCUCCCCCACGGCCUUUUGACACGGAAGCAUUCAACAAUUAUUUUGUGUGGUUUCGUUCCGUUGCAUGUACUCAACUUAACACACCCGCAUUUCAGCCAGGGGACAUAUUACAUGAAUCCAAUCCAGGUUUUGAUCGGAUGGCCAAUAUGGAGUACAACAUGCUUAUUAGAGAUGGUAGACGGUAUGAAUCGGCGCCAACUAUCCGCUUUGUGGUAAGUUACCGUUAUAUCUAUAUGCUUGCCUACAUUGUGCCAAAAUGA